AGAGUUUGAUCCUGGCUCAGGAUGAACGCUGGCGGCGCGCCUAACACAUGCAAGUCGAACGGCACCCCUCUCCGGAGGGAAGCGAGUGGCGAACGGCUGAGUAACACGUGGAGAACCUGCCCCCUCCCCCGGGAUAGCCGCCCGAAAGGACGGGUAAUACCGGAUACCCCCGGGCGCCGCAUGGCGCCCGGGCUAAAGCCCCGACGGGAGGGGAUGGCUCCGCGGCCCAUCAGGUAGACGGCGGGGUGACGGCCCACCGUGCCGACAACGGGUAGCCGGGUUGAGAGACCGACCGGCCAGAUUGGGACUGAGACACGGCCCAGACUCCUACGGGAGGCAGCAGUGGGGAAUCUUGCGCAAUGGGGGGAACCCUGACGCAGCGACGCCGCGUGCGGGACGGAGGCCUUCGGGUCGUAAACCGCUUUCAGCAGGGAAGAGUCAAGACUGUACCUGCAGAAGAAGCCCCGGCUAACUACGUGCCAGCAGCCGCGGUAAUACGUAGGGGGCGAGCGUUAUCCGGAUUCAUUGGGCGUAAAGCGCGCGUAGGCGGCCCGGCAGGCCGGGGGUCGAAGCGGGGGGCUCAACCCCCCGAAGCCCCCGGAACCUCCGCGGCUUGGGUCCGGUAGGGGAGGGUGGAACACCCGGUGUAGCGGUGGAAUGCGCAGAUAUCGGGUGGAACACCGGUGGCGAAGGCGGCUACCUAGACAGAGACUGACGCUGAGGCACGAAAGCGUGGGGAGCAAAUAGGAUUAGAUACCCUAGUAGUCCACGCUGUAAACGAUGAAUGCUAAGUAUUGGGGCAACUCAGUGCUGCAGUUAACGCAAUAAGCAUUCCGCCUGUGGAGUAUGCACGCAAGUGUGAAACAUAAAGGAAUUGACGGGGGCCCGCACAAGCGGUGGAGCAUGUGGUUUAAUUCGAAGCAACGCGAAGAACCUUACCAGGUCUUGACAUCCCAGUGACCGCUCUAGAGAUAGAGUUUUUCUUCGGAACACUGGUGACAGGUGGUGCAUGGUUGUCGUCAGCUCGUGUCGUGAGAUGUUGGGUUAAGUCCCACAACGAGCGCAACCCUUAUUGUUAGUUGCCAUCAUUCAGUUGGGCACUCUAGCGAGACUGCCGGUAAUAAACCGGAGGAAGGUGGGGAUGACGUCAAAUCAUCAUGCCCCUUAUGACCUGGGCUACACACGUGCUACAAUGGUUGGUACAACGAGUCGCAAGUCGGUGACGGCAAGCUAAUCUCUUAAAGCCAAUCUCAGUUCGGAUUGUAGGCUGCAACUCGCCUACAUGAAGUCGGAAUCGCUAGUAAUCGCGGAUCAGCACGCCGCGGUGAAUACGUUCCCGGGCCUUGCACACACCGCCCGUCA
This 1362-nucleotide ribosomal RNA is filed under the name uncultured bacterium. Its description in RNAcentral is "bacterial SSU rRNA". It matches the Rfam family "Bacterial small subunit ribosomal RNA". The record is from RNAcentral.